UGGCGGACGGGUGAGUAACGCGUGAGAAUCUGCCUUUAGAUCGGGGACAACCAUUGGAAACGAUGGCUAAUACCGGAUAAGCCGAGAGGUGAAAGAUUAAUUGUCUAGAGAAGAGCUCGCGUCUGAUUAGCUAGUUGGUGGGGUAAAGGCCUACCAAGGCGACGAUCAGUAGCUGGUCUGAGAGGAUGAUCAGCCACACUGGGACUGAGACACGGCCCAGAUCCUACGGGAGGCAGCAGC
Molecule: ribosomal RNA, 240 nt
Filed under: uncultured Crinalium sp.
Lineage: Bacteria; Bacillati; Cyanobacteriota; Cyanophyceae; Gomontiellales; Gomontiellaceae
Description: partial 16S ribosomal RNA
Rfam family: Bacterial small subunit ribosomal RNA
Source: RNAcentral